AAUCCGUCGACUUUAGAAAUCGUGAGGGUUCAAGUCCCUCHAUCCCCAA
This 49-nucleotide transfer RNA is filed under the name Moldenhawera lushnathiana. Its description in RNAcentral is "partial tRNA-Leu". The record is from RNAcentral. Lineage: Eukaryota; Viridiplantae; Streptophyta; Magnoliopsida; Fabales; Fabaceae.